GAGGAAAAUCCGUCGAUUUUCAAAAUCGUGAG
This 32-nucleotide transfer RNA is filed under the name Malephora lutea. RNAcentral describes it as "partial transfer RNA-Leu". The record is from RNAcentral. Lineage: Eukaryota; Viridiplantae; Streptophyta; Magnoliopsida; Caryophyllales; Aizoaceae.